Molecule: long non-coding RNA, 2383 nt
Organism: Alexandromys fortis (reed vole)
Lineage: Eukaryota; Metazoa; Chordata; Mammalia; Rodentia; Cricetidae
Exons: 3
Source: RefSeq, a predicted model, not a curated record
AGGAUUCUAAAGGCAGGAAAGUGAUCCGCGCGCAGCGUCGUUUGGGAAAGAUCACGGUUAGCUUAGCGCCCUUUGUGGAGACACAAUCGCCGGCAAUGUGGGAGGAUUUAUCUGGAAAAUUGCUUGGCAAGCAGGAUUUGAUCUUGGACAGUCAAGCCUAGAUGACAACAGGAGACACACCGGUGAGCCGCUCUGGAGAUUGCCAAAGAUACUGUUUUUAAGACGGAAAGGUUCCAGCCCCGACCAUCCGUUGGUGAGGUUAGUUCUUUCUGCUUCUACUUUUGGUGCAAAACCUGCAGGGAAACUUCCAACCCAUCUAGCGCCUGCCACCUAGUGGCCAGAGCCCGUCAGGACAUGGGUUCAAAUGGACAGCCUGGAGUCAAGCCCGCAGGAAAGCUGCUAUCACUAGCUGCUAUCCCUGGGCGACCAGAGCAAGGACUCGCCUUCCUCUGCAGGGGCCAGAGUCACCUUCCACCACGCUACUCCGGAGCUUUGCAACGGCGGACUUUGCCACGGCGUGGAGGAAUCUCAACUGCGGAACACUUGUCGGAAUGACUGCGGAGCUUUUGAUGACCCCUGUAUGUUCUCCCUUCCUCCAACUACCCACUUCCAUUCCUUCCUUUCUCUUCAGUUCCCACCGUUUGAACUCCGCGCUCUGAGCUCUGGGUGUCAGUCUCUCCCCUUGGGCAUACUCACAGAUGGUUGCUGGGCAGCUGCCACGUGAUUGGAAGCCAGCAUUAGCCACUCAGCAGUCUCCUGGGAGCAUGCUGCUUGGGAGGCUGGUCCUGGGCUGUCAGGGAUGACACCUUUCCUACUCUGGUGAGCUUGCAAUCCAGCCGUGGAGCAGCAGGUGAUGGUUGUAAGACUCAGGAGCCAUUAACUCACAGUGAACCCUUGUCUGCCUCAAUUUCUCUGCCAGGAACCUGAGAUAAUAGACCCCUGCAUGCGACACAGUGUUGUUUAUGGGAAGCCCCUUGGUGUGUGUGUGUGUGUGUGUGUGUGUGUGUGUUAUGUGUGUACAUUAAUAGCUCCAUUCAGUGGCUUUACAUAGCAGGUCUGGUGGACUUAACCCAGGCCUCUGCCAUCCCUAAGCCCCGCCCAGCAAACCUGCAGAAGAAUGGAUGCCUGGUUGGUGGCCUGCCUGUAAGUUGGGUGGAAGGGGUAGAGACCAUUCAGUGGGCAGAGGCAGCAGGAGCCUCAGUUACAGAUGAGAAGGAUUUGAAGUAAGAGCUCUUCCUGGUGGCAUAGGCUUUCAUCCCAGCUCUUUGCCAAGCUGAGCUGAAGCACUGAAAGGAGCACAGAAAGUUCAAGGCUGGACUGGAAUACAGAGGGAGGUUCAAUGCCAGCCUGGGUAACUCAGUGAAACACGGUCUCGAAAAGUAAAAAAGAGCCAGGUGGUGAUGGUGUGCACCUUUAAACCCAGUACUCAGGAGGCAAAUGCAGGUGGAGCAGAGGGAGUUCCAGGAUAGCCAGAGCUAGAGAGAGAGAGAGAGAGAGAGAGAGAGAGAGAGAGAGAGAGAGAGAGAGAGAGAGAGAGAGAGAGAGAGACCCUGUCUCAAUAUACAAACAAACAAAAAACAAAACAAAACAAAAAACCCCAAAACAAACACACAAAGGCUCUGGCUUGGGGUAUAACUCAUCAAGGGAAAGUGUACUUAGAAGCCCCCUGCCUAGAAUCCCCCAGUGAGGGGCUGGGGUGUGACUCAGUGGUAGAGGCCCUGCCUAGAAUCCCCCAGUGAGGGGCUGGGGUGUGGCUCAGUGGUAGAGCACCUGCCUAGAAUCCCCCAGUGAGGGGCUGGGGUGUGACCCAAUGAUACAGCGCUCUUCUAGCAUGCUUGAGAAUCUGUGUGUGUACCUCAGGCACCUGCUCCUGCCACAGCUCCCUCCCGUCUCUAUCCCUUGCACUUGAAGAUGUCUAAGGAAAACAUUUUUUUCCAGAUACUCUUAUCAGUUAGAGAAAGGGUGAGACCCAAUGUCCCAGGCAUCUUCUUUGCCCCCUGGCAAAAGAGUUCUCUGACUCUUUACUUUAGCGACUGAAUUUGUAAGUGAGAAUCGACCUCCCAAAUUAAGUCUCUAAUUCCCAAGUAAGCCGAGCAGCUAUUUUUCUUGCAAAUCUUGUGUGAACAUAAUUUAAUAGAAGGAACAAGCUAAUAAAAUAAGCCCAUAUAUUACAGCCUUGGCACAAUAAAGAAAACAGACGAUGGAAGAGACGAAUGGGCAGUGCCUUUCAGCCCAGGGAGAAAGAAAAGAACACAGAAAUAAGAUGUUAAUAAGACGUGGUAACGCUUCAAAGAAGCUUUGCCUACUUGAGUCGAACUUCUUUAUUACCGUUGUGGUGGUGGCUGUUGUUUUACCUUGAGACUAGAUUUCCCUAAGUUUCCAG